RNAcentral lists this unclassified non-coding RNA (200 nucleotides) under Elaphomyces sp. RNAcentral's name for it is "partial internal transcribed spacer 2". Lineage: Eukaryota; Fungi; Ascomycota; Eurotiomycetes; Eurotiales; Elaphomycetaceae. The record is from RNAcentral.
UUAAGUUCAGCGGGUAUCCUUACCUGAUCCGAGAUCCACUGGAGUCAAAUACCGUAGGGAACGGUGGAUGCCAAUCAAGCACCUAGAGCGAGAGAAGUCCAUGCGCUCGAGGAUCUAGACUACAGCAUCGCCACUGUCUUUCAGGCCCGUCCCUGACGAAUGGAGCGGGGGGACGAACAGCCCAACACCCAAGCCAAGCU